RNAcentral lists this ribosomal RNA (470 nucleotides) under uncultured organism. Its description in RNAcentral is "partial 16S ribosomal RNA". It matches the Rfam family "Bacterial small subunit ribosomal RNA", at positions 335 to 797 of the family's 1533-position model. The record is from RNAcentral.
ACUCCUACGGGAGGCAGCAGUGGGGAAUUUUGGACAAUGGGGGCAACCCUGAUCCAGCAAUGCCGCGUGAGUGAAGAAGGCCUUCGGGUUGUAAAGCUCUUUUGUCAGGGAAGAAACGGUGGUGGCGAAUAACUACUACUAAUGACGGUACCUGAAGAAUAAGCACCGGCUAACUACGUGCCAGCAGCCGCGGUAAUACGUAGGGUGCAAGCGUUAAUCGGAAUUACUGGGCGUAAAGCGUGCGCAGGCGGUUGUGUAAGUCAGAUGUGAAAUCCCCGGGCUCAACCUGGGAAUUGCAUUUGAGACUGCACGGCUAGAGUGUGUCAGAGGGGGGUAGAAUUCCACGUGGAGCAGUGAAAUGCGUAGAUAUGUGGAGGAAUACCGAUGGCGAAGGCAGCCCCCUGGGAUAACACUGACGCUCAUGCACGAAAGCGUGGGGAGCAAACAGGAUUAGAUACCCUGGUAGUCCC